RNAcentral lists this ribosomal RNA (492 nucleotides) under uncultured bacterium. RNAcentral's name for it is "partial 16S ribosomal RNA". It matches the Rfam family "Bacterial small subunit ribosomal RNA", at positions 29 to 507 of the family's 1533-position model. The record is from RNAcentral.
AGUGAACGCUGGCGGUAGGCCUAACACAUGCAAGUCGAACGGCAGCACAGUAAGAGCUUGCUCUUACGGGUGGCGAGUGGCGGACGGGUGAGGAAUACAUCGGAAUCUACUUUUUCGUGGGGGAUAACGUAGGGAAACUUACGCUAAUACCGCAUACGACCUACGGGUGAAAGCAUGGGAUCUUCGGACCUUGCGCGAUUGAAUGAGCCGAUGUCGGAUUAGCUAGUUGGCGGGGUAAAGGCCCACCAAGGCGACGAUCCGUAGCUGGUCUGAGAGGAUGAUCAGCCACACUGGAACUGAGACACGGUCCAGACUCCUACGGGAGGCAGCAGUGGGGAAUAUUGGACAAUGGGCGCAAGCCUGAUCCAGCCAUACCGCGUGGGUGAAGAAGGCCUUCGGGUUGUAAAGCACUUUUGUUGGGAAAGAAAAGCAGCAGGUUAAUACCCCGCUGUUCUGACGGUACCCAAAGAAUAAGCACCGGCUAACUUCGUG